This 1369-nucleotide ribosomal RNA is filed under the name uncultured bacterium. RNAcentral describes it as "bacterial SSU rRNA". It matches the Rfam family "Bacterial small subunit ribosomal RNA", at positions 28 to 1381 of the family's 1533-position model. The record is from RNAcentral.
GACGAACGCUGGCGGCGUGCCUAAUACAUGCAAGUAGAACGCUGAAGGGAGGAGCUUGCUCUUCUUGGAUGAGUUGCGAACGGGUGAGUAACGCGUAGGUAACCUGCCUUGUAGCGGGGGAUAACUAUUGGAAACGAUAGCUAAUACCGCAUAACAAUGGAUGACACAUGCCAUUUAUUUGAAAGGGGCAAUUGCUCCACUACAAGAUGGACCUGCGUUGUAUUAGCUAGUAGGUGAGGUAACGGCUCACCUAGGCGACGAUACAUAGCCGACCUGAGAGGGUGAUCGGCCACACUGGGACUGAGACACGGCCCAGACUCCUACGGGAGGCAGCAGUAGGGAAUCUUCGGCAAUGGGGGCAACCCUGACCGAGCAACGCCGCGUGAGUGAAGAAGGUUUUCGGAUCGUAAAGCUCUGUUGUAAGUCAAGAACGAGUGUGAGAGUGGAAAGUUCACACUGUGACGGUAGCUUACCAGAAAGGGGCGGCUAACUACGUGCCAGCAGCCGCGGUAAUACGUAGGUCCCGAGCGUUGUCCGGAUUUAUUGGGCGUAAAGCGAGCGCAGGCGGUUUGAUAAGUCUGAAGUUAAAGGCUGUGGCUCAACCAUAGUUCGCUUUGGAAACUGUCAAACUUGAGUGCAGAAGGGGAGAGUGGAAUUCCAUGUGUAGCGGUGAAAUGCGUAGAUAUAUGGAGGAACACCGGUGGCGAAAGCGGCUCUCUGGUCUGUAACUGACGCUGAGGCUCGAAAGCGUGGGGAGCGAACAGGAUUAGAUACCCUGGUAGUCCACGCCGUAAACGAUGAGUGCUAGGUGUUGGAUCCUUUCCGGGAUUCAGUGCCGCAGCUAACGCAUUAAGCACUCCGCCUGGGGAGUACGACCGCAAGGUUGAAACUCAAAGGAAUUGACGGGGGCCCGCACAAGCGGUGGAGCAUGUGGUUUAAUUCGAAGCAACGCGAAGAACCUUACCAGGUCUUGACAUCCCGAUGCUAUUCCUAGAGAUAGAAAGUUACUUCGGUACAUCGGUGACAGGUGGUGCAUGGUUGUCGUCAGCUCGUGUCGUGAGAUGUUGGGUUAAGUCCCGCAACGAGCGCAACCCCUAUUGUUAGUUGCCAUCAUUCAGUUGGGCACUCUAGCGAGACUGCCGGUAAUAAACCGGAGGAAGGUGGGGAUGACGUCAAAUCAUCAUGCCCCUUAUGACCUGGGCUACACACGUGCUACAAUGGUUGGUACAACGAGUUGCGAGUCGGUGACGGCAAGCUAAUCUCUUAAAGCCAAUCUCAGUUCGGAUUGUAGGCUGCAACUCGCCUACAUGAAGUCGGAAUCGCUAGUAAUCGCGGAUCAGCACGCCGCGGUGAAUACGUUCCCGGGCCU